GACGAACGCUGGCGGCGUGCCUAAUACAUGCAAGUAGAACGCUGAAGGAGGAGCUUGCUUCUCUGGAUGAGUUGCGAACGGGUGAGUAACGCGUAGGUAACCUGCCUGGUAGCGGGGGAUAACUAUUGGAAACGAUAGCUAAUACCGCAUAAGAGUAGAUGUUGCAUGACAUUUGCUUAAAAGGUGCAAUUGCAUCACUACCAGAUGGACCUGCGUUGUAUUAGCUAGUUGGUGGGGUAACGGCUCACCAAGGCGACGAUACAUAGCCGACCUGAGAGGGUGAUCGGCCACACUGGGACUGAGACACGGCCCAGACUCCUACGGGAGGCAGCAGUAGGGAAUCUUCGGCAAUGGACGGAAGUCUGACCGAGCAACGCCGCGUGAGUGAAGAAGGUUUUCGGAUCGUAAAGCUCUGUUGUAAGAGAAGAAAGAGUGUGAGAGUGGAAAGUUCACACUGUGACGGUAUCUUACCAGAAAGGGACGGCUAACUACGUG
Molecule: ribosomal RNA, 495 nt
Filed under: uncultured bacterium
Lineage: Bacteria
Description: partial 16S ribosomal RNA
Rfam family: Bacterial small subunit ribosomal RNA
Source: RNAcentral